Non-coding RNA from Armillaria novae-zelandiae, 100 nucleotides. The record is from the annotation of a GenBank genome assembly. Lineage: Eukaryota; Fungi; Basidiomycota; Agaricomycetes; Agaricales; Physalacriaceae.
GGCCGACUAGCUCAGUUGGUUAGAGCGUCGUGCUAAUAUUGCAAACAGGUGUGGCAUUAGUUUAACGCGAAGGUCUUGGGUUCGAUCCCCACGUUGGCCA